RNAcentral lists this ribosomal RNA (252 nucleotides) under uncultured bacterium. RNAcentral's name for it is "partial 16S ribosomal RNA". It matches the Rfam family "Bacterial small subunit ribosomal RNA", at positions 524 to 776 of the family's 1533-position model. The record is from RNAcentral.
UACGUAGGUCCCGAGCGUUGUCCGGAUUUAUUGGACGUAAAGCGAGCGCAGGUGGUUUAUUAAGUCUGGUGUAAAAGGCAGUGGCUCAACCAUUGUAUGCAUUGGAAACUGGUAGACUUGAGUGCAGGAGAGGAGAGUGGAAUUCCAUGUGUAGCGGUGAAAUGCGUAGAUAUAUGGAAGAACACCGGUGGCGAAAGCGGCUCUCUGGCCUGUAACUGACACUGAGGCUCGAAAGCGUGGGGAGCAAACAGG